UCCCAUUCAAAUAUAUCAUUUCCUGCGAAAACACAUUGCCGCCAUCCCUCUAUGUCUUUCAGAAAAUAUUAUAAAAUUUCAAUUUAUAAAAGAAUAGAACCCCAAAAGGUGAAUCAGAUAUUCAGAUUACAAGAAAAAUAGAAACCUUCACCCUCUGCCUUCCAUCUCCGUUGCUGUCGCUCCUUGCAGAAGAAUCGGAUUACAAACUACUGAAAUGCUGCCAUUCACGCCUCUACCCAUUAAUCCAUUCUUCACUCCGGAUUCUUCUCUCUUUUUUAUUCUAUACGAUAGUAUCUGGUCUGGUGGUUCAUAUCUGUUGGGUUAAGGAGCUUCUGCAAUCAAGGGAGGAGGAUGUCGUAUCAGAUAUGAUAUUGACAGAUUACUCUGAUUGGAAAUGGAUGAGAAGAUAGGAAGAAAGUUUUUGAAUGUUUUGAAGAUUGUUGAGGAAGCGUUUUCUGUACAUGAGCAUUGAGGGAGCUCAUUAAGCUUAUCAAGGUUCUUAUCUUAUCUUUCUCAGUUUCCUCUUCCUUGUUUCCUUCUAACAAUGACCAAAUUUUAUUUUUUAUGAAUAGAUCUACAAGGAACCGUGAAGCUAUUGCAAUGUCUUUCCUUGUAGCAAAUGCAAUUGGUGCUCAUAUCAACGACCAUUGACUUUCUGCUGCCAUUCAUAUUAGCAUCAUUUGCUGCAAAUUUUCACUUUCACGGCUUCUCAAUACUUCGUUUCUCUGAAGUUAAUGUCAGCAUUCUUCGGCCAAAUCUAUAAGGACCGACUAGAAGAGAAUAGGGAUCUGUUAUCUGUCAGUCAAAGUACAUAGGCAUUUUGUUCUUGAGACUAGUUGGAGAUUUAAAUUGUGCAAUUGGGACUUUGUCUUCUCAAAUUUCUAUAGGCAGUAAGUAGUGAUUGUUCAUUCUUUUUUUUCCUUUUUUUUUUUUUUUUGGUUGUAUGUUAUAUUAUCUCUGGAAGAGGUGAUUAACUAGGAUCAAUGAAUCUGUAUCAAAUCUAAUUUUUGGACUGGUAAAUGAAUGGGCUG
Molecule: long non-coding RNA, 1031 nt
Filed under: Olea europaea subsp. europaea
Lineage: Eukaryota; Viridiplantae; Streptophyta; Magnoliopsida; Lamiales; Oleaceae
Source: RNAcentral